This 450-nucleotide ribosomal RNA is filed under the name uncultured Glomus. RNAcentral describes it as "SSU rRNA". It matches the Rfam family "Eukaryotic small subunit ribosomal RNA", at positions 569 to 1024 of the family's 1831-position model. Lineage: Eukaryota; Fungi; Glomeromycota; Glomeromycetes; Glomerales; Glomeraceae. The record is from RNAcentral.
AGCAGCCGCGGUAAUUCCAGCUCCAAUAGCGUAUAUUAAAGUUGUUGCAGUUAAAAAGCUCGUAGUUGAAUUUCGGGAUCAAUUUGCUGGUCGUGCCUCUGGUACGUACUGGUAUUAUUGGUUUCUCCCUUCUGACGAACCAUGAUGUCAUUAAUUUGAUGUCGUGGAGAAUCAGGACUGUUACAUUGAAAAAUUAGAGUGUUUAAAGCAGGCAUUAGCUUGAAUACAUUAGCAUGGAAUAAUGAAAUAGGACGUUUGAUCCUAUUUUGUUGGUUUCUAGGAUUGACGUAAUGAUUAAUAGGGAUAGUUGGGGGCAUUAGUAUUCAAUUGUCAGAGGUGAAAUUCUUGGAUUUAUUGAAGACUAACUACUGCGAAAGCAUUUGCCAAGGAUGUUUUCAUUAAUCAAGACCGAAAGUUAGGGGAUCGAAGACGAUCAGAUACCGUCGUAGU